This 253-nucleotide ribosomal RNA is filed under the name uncultured bacterium. Its description in RNAcentral is "partial 16S ribosomal RNA". It matches the Rfam family "Bacterial small subunit ribosomal RNA", at positions 524 to 776 of the family's 1533-position model. The record is from RNAcentral.
UACGUAGGGGGCAAGCGUUGCUCGGAAUCACUGGGCGUAAAGGGCGCGUAGGCGGGGAGGUAAGUCGGGUGUGAAAUCCCUCGGCCCAACUGAGGAACUGCGCCCGAGACUGCUUCUCUUGAGUCCCGGAGAGGAAGAUGGAAUUCCCGGUGUAGCGGUGAAAUGUGUAGAGAUCGGGAGGAACACCGGUGGCGAAGGCGGUCUUCUGGACGGUGACUGACGCUGAGGCGCGAAAGCGUGGGGAGCAAACGGG